This 292-nucleotide ribosomal RNA is filed under the name uncultured bacterium. RNAcentral's name for it is "partial 16S ribosomal RNA". It matches the Rfam family "Bacterial small subunit ribosomal RNA", at positions 505 to 796 of the family's 1533-position model. The record is from RNAcentral.
GUGUCAGCCGCCGCGGUAAUACAGAGGUCCCAAGCGUUGUUCGGAUUCAUUGGGCGUAAAGGGUGCGUAGGUGGCAUGGUAAGUCGGGUGUGAAAUCCCGGGGCUCAACCCCGGAACUGCACUCGAUACUGCCGUGCUCGAGUACUGGAGAGGAGACUGGAAUUUACGGUGUAGCAGUGAAAUGCGUAGAUAUCGUAAGGAAGACCGGUGGCGAAGGCUAGUCUCUGGACAGUUACUGACACUGAGGCACGAAGGCCAGGGGAGCAAACGGGAUUAGAAACCCGCGUAGUCC